GACGAACUGUCCAAACGUUGUUCGGAAUCACUGGGCUUAAAGGGCGCGUAGGCGGUCGGACAAGUCGGGGGUGAAAUCCUGCAGCUCAACUGUAGAAGUGCCUUCGAUACUGUUCGUCUGGAGGGAGAUAGGGGUGUGCGGAACUUCCAGUGGAGCGGUGAAACGCGUUGAUAUUGGAAGGAACGCCGGAGGCGAAAGCGGCGCACUGGAUCUCUUCUGACGCUGAGGCGCGAAAGCUAUGGGAGCAAACGGG
Molecule: ribosomal RNA, 253 nt
Filed under: uncultured bacterium
Lineage: Bacteria
Description: partial 16S ribosomal RNA
Rfam family: Bacterial small subunit ribosomal RNA
Source: RNAcentral